CCGCGGUCCGCUGCAAAGUGAGUCCCACCGGCGGAGCUGGCCCGGGCGCUGUGCCCUCGCUCGGCUCUCUCCGCCCCGCCGCGCGGGCCGCGGGCUGCGCUGGGUCGCGGCGGGCCCCGCAGGCGGCCAUGGCGGCGGGCGCCGGGGCCAGGCCGGCGCCGCGCUGGGUGAAGGCGCUAGGUGAGCCGCUCAGCGCCGCGCAGCUGCGGCGGCUGGAGGAGCACCGCUACAGCGCGGUGGGAGAGUCGCUGCUCGAGCCGCCGCUGCAGCUUUACUGGACCUGGCUGCUCCAAUGGAUCCCGCUCUGGAUGGCCCCCAACACCAUCACCCUCAUCGGCCUCGCCAUCAACCUGGUCACCACACUAGUGCUCAUCUUCUACUGCCCUACGGUCACAGAGGAGGCACCAUACUGGACAUACCUUUUAUGUGCCCUGGGACUCUUUAUCUACCAGUCACUGGAUGCCAUUGAUGGGAAACAAGCCAGAAGGACAAACUCUUGCUCUCCUUUAGGGGAACUGUUUGAUCAUGGCUGUGACUCUCUUUCCACAGUAUUUAUGUCCAUCGGCGCUUCAAUUGCUAUUCGCCUAGGAACACAUCCUGACUGGUUGUUUUUCUGCUCUUUUGUUGGGAUGUUCAUGUUUUAUUGUGCUCACUGGCAGACUUACGUCUCAGGAGUGUUGAGAUUUGGAAGGGUGGAUGUAACUGAGAUCCAAGUAGCUCUAGUGAUCGUCUUUAUGUUGUCUACAUUUGGAGGAGCAACAAUGUGGGACUAUAUGAUACCUAUUCUAGAAAUAAAACUGAAGAUCGUUCCAGUUCUUGGAGUUGUAGGUGGAUUAAUAUUUUCCUGUUCAAAUUAUUUCCAUGUGAUCCUCCAUGGUGGUGUUGGCAAGAAUGGAUCUACCAUUGCAGGCACUAGUGUCUUGUCACCUGGACUCCACAUAGGAUUAAUCAUUAUAUUGGCAAUAAUGAUCUAUAAAAAGUCUGCAACAAAUGUGUUUGAAAAACACCCUUGCCUUUAUACUUUAAUGUUUGGAUGUGUCUUUGCUAAAGUUGCACAAAAAUUGGUGAUAGCUCACAUGACGAAAAGUGAACUAUAUCUUCAAGACACUGUCUUUUUUGGGCCAGGUCUUUUAUUUUUAGACCAAUACUUUAAUAAUUUUAUAGAUGAAUAUGUUAUUCUAUGGAUAGCAAUGGUCAUUUCUUCAUUUGAUAUGAUGAUAUACUUUAGUUCUUUGUGCCUGCAAAUUUCAAGACACCUUCAUCUAAAUAUCUUCAAGACUUCAUGUCAACAAGCACCUGAACAGGUUCACAAGCAUAUUGACUGACUAGUAGCCCAAGGAAAAGAGGAGAAGCAGUUAGGGGAAACUAUGUAUGAAGGAUAUCUCCCUAUGCAGGAGGUUCAAGUUCUUUCUUCAAAGACUCAUCAGAAUAACAUGGAUUGAAGAGACUUUCGAACAUUUGCCAUCUCUUGCUGCUGCUGUUUCAUGAAAGGAGAUAUGAAACGUUUAAUUUUUAGUUAAAUGUUAUAAAAAUUUCAGCAAAUAAAACAUUUCAGUGCCUCCA
Molecule: RNA transcript, 1563 nt
Organism: Mastomys coucha (southern multimammate mouse)
Lineage: Eukaryota; Metazoa; Chordata; Mammalia; Rodentia; Muridae
Gene: Chpt1
Gene name: choline phosphotransferase 1
Exons: 9
Source: RefSeq, a predicted model, not a curated record